Molecule: unclassified non-coding RNA, 244 nt
Filed under: Hevea brasiliensis (rubber tree)
Lineage: Eukaryota; Viridiplantae; Streptophyta; Magnoliopsida; Malpighiales; Euphorbiaceae
Source: RNAcentral
UUUUCCAAUAUGUGAGAUGCGAGAAUGAAGCUCCAAAUAACUCGCCUUCAAACGCGGGUGGAACUGCACUCUUUUUUAGGAGAUAGAAGGAAGAGCAUGAAGAGGUUUUUUUUUCCUGAGGUCGGAAGCUGAAUCGAGAACUUCUAUUCAUUUUGCUACUGAGCCAAUAGCUUAAUAAAGGACAAUAAAGGAUCUACACCAAAGAAAAAAUGCAGGUUGGUUCCUGUUGAAUUGAAAGGGCGGA